GAUGAAGAACGUAGCGAAAUGCGAUAAGUAAUGUGAAUUGCAGAAUUCCGUGAAUCAUCGAAUUUUUGAACGCACAUUGCGCCCCCUGGUAUUCCGGGGGGCAUGCCUGUCCGAGCGUCAUUACAACCCUCAAGCUCAGCUUGGUGUUGGGCCCCGCCGCCCCGGCGGGCCCUAAAGUCAGUGGCGGUGCCGUCCGGCUCCGAGCGUAGUAAUUCUUCUCGCUCUGGAGGUCCGGUCGUGUGCUCGCCAGCAACCCCCAAUUUUUUUCAGGUUGACCUCGGAUCAGGUAGGGAUACCCGCUGAACUUAAGCAUAUCAAUAAGCGGAGGA
This 329-nucleotide unclassified non-coding RNA is filed under the name soil metagenome. Its description in RNAcentral is "partial contains 5.8S ribosomal RNA, internal transcribed spacer 2, and large subunit ribosomal RNA". The stretch from base 1 to 120 matches the Rfam family "5.8S ribosomal RNA", at positions 35 to 154 of the family's 154-position model. The record is from RNAcentral.